AUCAUAGUGGCAGAUCAGUGCAUUAGGUUUAAGCCCUAAAAAGGAGAAAUCCUAUGAUA
Molecule: transfer RNA, 59 nt
Filed under: Terebratalia transversa
Lineage: Eukaryota; Metazoa; Brachiopoda; Rhynchonellata; Terebratulida; Laqueidae
Description: tRNA-Leu
Source: RNAcentral